GCAGUCGAACGAUGAAGCCCUUCGGGGUGGAUUAGUGGCGAACGGGUGAGUAACACGUGGGCAAUCUGCCCUGCACUCUGGGACAAGCCCUGGAAACGGGGUCUAAUACCGGAUACGAGCUUCCCGGGCAUCUGGGAGGUUGGAAAGCUCCGGCGGUGCAGGAUGAGCCCGCGGCCUAUCAGCUUGUUGGUGAGGUAACGGCUCACCAAGGCGACGACGGGUAGCCGGCCUGAGAGGGCGACCGGCCACACUGGGACUGAGACACGGCCCAGACUCCUACGGGAGGCAGCAGUGGGGAAUAUUGCACAAUGGGCGCAAGCCUGAUGCAGCGACGCCGCGUGAGGGAUGACGGCCUUCGGGUUGUAAACCUCUUUCAGCAGGGAAGAAGCGCAAGUGACGGUACCUGCAGAAGAAGCGCCGGCUAACUACGUGCCAGCAGCCGGGGGUAAUUCA
RNAcentral lists this ribosomal RNA (453 nucleotides) under Streptomyces sp. HVXM-17-1. RNAcentral's name for it is "bacterial SSU rRNA". It matches the Rfam family "Bacterial small subunit ribosomal RNA", at positions 57 to 527 of the family's 1533-position model. The record is from RNAcentral. Lineage: Bacteria; Bacillati; Actinomycetota; Actinomycetes; Kitasatosporales; Streptomycetaceae.